Molecule: ribosomal RNA, 485 nt
Filed under: uncultured bacterium
Lineage: Bacteria
Description: partial 16S ribosomal RNA
Rfam family: Bacterial small subunit ribosomal RNA
Source: RNAcentral
AGUGAACGCUGGCGGCGUGCUUAACGCAUGCAAGUCGAACGAGAACGGAAUAUAGCUUGCUAUAUUUGUCAGCUAAGUGGCGCACGGGCGAGUAAUGUAUAGAUAACCUGCCCUUAAGAAAGGAAUAACAGUUGGAAACGACUGCUAAUGCCCUAUAUGCCUUCAAUACAUAAGUAUGCAAGGGAAACGCUUUAGUGCUUAAGGAUGGGUCUGUAUGGUAUCAGCUUGUUGGUGAGGUAAUGGCUCACCAAGGCUAUGACGCCUAACCGGUUUGAGAGGAUGAUCAGUCACACUGGAACUGAGACACGGUCCAGACUCCUACGGGAGGCAGCAGUGGGGAAUAUUGCACAAUGGACGAAAGUCUGAUGCAGCAACGCCGCGUGGAGGAUGACACAUUUCGGUACGUAAACUCCUUUUAUAUAGGAAGAUAAUGACGGUACUAUAUGAGUAAGCACCGGCUAACUCCGUGCCAGCCGCCGCAGUAA